GCAUUUCAUCCUUGCUAGGAGAUAUCAAUGAAUUAAUUUGACGUAGUGUAUCAUUCUUUUUUUUUUUUUUUUAAAAAAAAAGUUAAAUGAACUUGAUAAGUAUAAAAAUGUAUUUAGAAAUAGUACACAUUUUAUGAACUUACAAAAAAGCUAGUGGCUAAGUUAAACCAGUUGCCUCAAUAUAAUUAUAAAAACAAUUAAGAGUAAAAUCACAGUCAGUUUUCCUGGUAAGGGUGGGGGGGGGGGGUGGAUCAACCUCAAAUAAUACAAUUAUUUGCAAUUUGAGGGGUCAAGAUAAUGAUGGCGUAAUUACAAAGUUCAGAGCAAUAUUGAGGACAAAGUUACGAAUGAGCUAAUUUACUUAUCAUAACUCCUCCUGUUUCUCAGAAUUUUACCCGAUGAUCCUCUGCAAGACAAGUGAUUUUUAAGCCCUUCUUUCAUGGGUGUCUUGGAAAAUUGGAAAUUUAGACUUUUCCGUGCUUUUUGACGCCAAUUUCCUGCUGUUCUGGGCUGUGAAAAUGACACCUCUUGAGCAUGAGAGCCGGAAGGAUUGCUUGGACUUUCUUAGGUCUCCCUCUCGUUUUCUUGACAACUGAGGUAGAAUCAUUCUGGGAAUUCAAUACAUCCAUGUUUAAUUCUGCUGCUUUUACUUUAAUUUUUGGCUCAAUUUUUCUAGCUCUCUUGUUGCCUGAUUUCAAUUCAUCACUUUCGGUGAUGCUAGACUGAUCAGAUAAACUCCUAUUUUUCUCUCCUUCAGAUUGAUUAAAACUAGUUUCUGGAUUGCUGAGUUCUCCUUCCUCAGAAUUAGCAAGUCGACGAGAGCCUUCUUUCAGAACAGAGUUGCUCGCACUAAAAGUCGAAUCAUGAAUAGCAUUAGCGGAUCUCUUGGCAUCUUCUGCUUUUGUUUCAGAUGAUUCGACAGAUGAGCAAGCAUGCUUGGCCAAAUCUUCUGGUUUUUCGGAAGACUUCUGCGUAUUAUUUUUUUGACUUGCUGCUUCAUCGACACAUUUUGAUGGUUGAGUUUGAUUCAGAAGUUUAGAUGCUUUGUUAUUCGUCUUUAUCCUGCAACAGAAAAAAAACAAGAAAAGCUUAGUCGAGAAUAGUUGCAUAUUGGUGCUGAAGAAACAAUACUGCCUAAAGAAAUUUUUGGCAA
Molecule: long non-coding RNA, 1153 nt
Filed under: Bemisia tabaci
Lineage: Eukaryota; Metazoa; Arthropoda; Insecta; Hemiptera; Aleyrodidae
Description: lncRNA ENSSSA2NGG001116
Source: RNAcentral